GUGGAUCGCCACGGUGGCGGCGAUGAUCGAUGGCCGCUUGCGACGCGGCGCGGUCUUCCUGCUGGUGGCUGCCGGGCUGACCCUGUUCGGCCUGAUCCACUC
Molecule: transfer RNA, 102 nt
Filed under: Xanthomonas citri pv. fuscans
Lineage: Bacteria; Pseudomonadati; Pseudomonadota; Gammaproteobacteria; Lysobacterales; Lysobacteraceae
Description: tRNA-Arg
Source: RNAcentral